Molecule: long non-coding RNA, 269 nt
Organism: Zea mays
Lineage: Eukaryota; Viridiplantae; Streptophyta; Magnoliopsida; Poales; Poaceae
Exons: 3
Source: RefSeq, a predicted model, not a curated record
AUUCCACUUGCCAAUUCAGUUCCCGCCUUAUCCAAAACAUCUUAUGCCAUUUCAUGAGGUCCUCCAACAACCUCAUAAGAGGUUUAUAGAUGUAAUAGGAAUUGUCAUUCAUUUGGCGCCGUUAGAGCACAUCGGUGGAAGGCCGUACAGAGAGGCCAUACUAAUGGAUUCCAGGUGGGAUAUAAUCGUCGUGGGUAUAUGGCCUGAACUGUUGCAAAGAAAUGCUCUACGGUGGGUGUUAGCUAGAGAAAACAAGAGCAUAAUUAUCG